AGGUUGCGACAUGUGGACAUGU
RNAcentral lists this unclassified non-coding RNA (22 nucleotides) under Chlamydomonas reinhardtii. Its description in RNAcentral is "small RNA Cre_0609". Lineage: Eukaryota; Viridiplantae; Chlorophyta; Chlorophyceae; Chlamydomonadales; Chlamydomonadaceae. The record is from RNAcentral.